This 372-nucleotide ribosomal RNA is filed under the name uncultured organism. RNAcentral's name for it is "bacterial SSU rRNA". It matches the Rfam family "Bacterial small subunit ribosomal RNA", at positions 526 to 896 of the family's 1533-position model. The record is from RNAcentral.
CAGAGACUGCAAGCGUUAUUCGGAUUCACUGGGCGCAAAGGGUGCGCAGGCGGUCGGGUGUGUCAGAUGUGAAAUCCCGAGGCUCAACCUCGGAACUGCGUCUGAAACUACUCGACUAGAGUACUGGAGAGGGUAACGGAAUUCACGGUGUAGCAGUGAAAUGCGUAGAUAUCGUGAGGAACACCAGAGGCGAAGGCGGUUACCUGGACAGUUACUGACGCUCAGGCACGAAAGCAUGGGGAGCAAAAGGGAUUAGAUACCCCUGUAGUCCAUGCCCUAAACGGUGCACACUAGGUCUUAGCGGAUUCGACCCCACUAGGGCCCAAGCUAACGCGUUAAGUGUGCCGCCUGAGGGCUACGGUCGCAAGACUA